GAGUUUGAUCUUGGCUCAGAUUGAACGCUGGCGGCAUGCCUUACACAUGCAAGUCGAACGGCAGCAUGAUCUAGCUUGCUAGAUUGAUGGCGAGUGGCGAACGGGUGAGUAAUACAUCGGAACGUGCCCUGUAGUGGGGGAUAACUAGUCGAAAGAUUAGCUAAUACCGCAUACGACCUGAGGGUGAAAGUGGGGGACCUCAAGGCCUCAUGCUAUAGGAGCGGCCGAUGUCUGAUUAGCUAGUUGGUGGGGUAAAGGCCCACCAAGGCGACGAUCAGUAGCUGGUCUGAGAGGACGAUCAGCCACACUGGGACUGAGACACGGCCCAGACUCCUACGGGAGGCAGCAGUGGGGAAUUUUGGACAAUGGGCGAAAGCCUGAUCCAGCAAUGCCGCGUGUGUGAAGAAGGCCU
Molecule: ribosomal RNA, 412 nt
Filed under: uncultured microorganism
Description: bacterial SSU rRNA
Rfam family: Bacterial small subunit ribosomal RNA
Source: RNAcentral